This 463-nucleotide ribosomal RNA is filed under the name uncultured bacterium. Its description in RNAcentral is "partial 16S ribosomal RNA". It matches the Rfam family "Bacterial small subunit ribosomal RNA", at positions 28 to 507 of the family's 1533-position model. The record is from RNAcentral.
GAUGAACGCUGACAGAAUGCUUAACACAUGCAAGUCGAUGGGGAAGUGGUGCUUGCACCAUGGCAACCAUGGCGGACGGGUGAGUAACGCGUAAGGGACUUACCUGCAGGACUGGGAUAACAGGGGGAAACUCCUGACAAGACCGGAUAAUGUCAUGGAGCUGCCUGGCUUUAUGAUGAAAGGAGACGCCUGCGGAGAGCCUUGCGUCCUAUUAGCUAGUUGGUGAGGUAAUGGCUCACCAAGGCGAAGAAAGGUAGCCGGCCUGAGAGGGUGGACGGCCACAAGGGGACGGAGAUACGGCCCUUACUCCUACGGGAGGCAGCAGUGGGGAAUAUUGGACAAUGGGGGCAACCCUGAUCCAGCAAUUCUGUGUGCACGAAGAAGGUUUUCGGAUUGUAAAGUGCUUUCAGCAGGGAAGAAGUAAGUGACGGUACCUGCAGAAGAAGCGACGGCUAAAUACGUG